CAGCUGUUGUCAAUGGUGAUGCAAAUAAAUGUUACCUAGCAACAACAUUUGCUUUGAACAAUUUCGGCGCUGCAAGUGCAGCAUGUGCUACUGUGGGAGGACGAUUGUUUGAGCCUAGGUCGACAGCAGAACUAAAUGCAGUACGAACUUCUCUUAUAGCCGCGACUAGUACGGUACCAUACUUCAUCGGAUAUUCCAACAUUAACAAUAAUGCACUAGCCCCAGUAGGGUUUUACACAGGUGGCGGACUUCCAGCUAAUCCUGGAGCAACUACUCCUACUUUUACUGGUCUUAAUUGUGUAACUGUUACUGUUACUGGAGUUUAUAUACCCGUAGCUAAUUGUGCUACUGCAACAGCUAAAGCUGCACUCUGUGAAGCGAUAUUGG
Long non-coding RNA from Mytilus trossulus (common blue mussel), 387 nucleotides. RefSeq lists it as uncharacterized. The transcript is spliced from 4 exons. The record is from RefSeq and is a predicted model, not a curated record. Lineage: Eukaryota; Metazoa; Mollusca; Bivalvia; Mytilida; Mytilidae.